This 3907-nucleotide long non-coding RNA is filed under the name Cicer arietinum (chickpea). RNAcentral's name for it is "long non-coding RNA (CARI_LNC001087)". The record is from RNAcentral. Lineage: Eukaryota; Viridiplantae; Streptophyta; Magnoliopsida; Fabales; Fabaceae.
AGAAUAAGACGAGGAGUAGAAACUCCCAUACAAUCAGCGGGAAAAAAUCUGCUAAAUAUGUGGGUGCUCAUAAAGAAUCAAGUUAAACCUAUCAUCACAAUCAAUAGAAGCAAGAAGCGUAGCGUCCACACAAUAAUUUGUUUAUCUUUUCUUUUUCCAUAAGUUUAUUACGAAGAAAAUAAUCAAAUGGAUUGACCUAUAGGAACCCAAAAACCCCAAUUAAUGUUAGGCCCAAGGAGGAAGUGAUUGCAACCUCAGAGCAAGGAAAAUCCACUAUAUGGAGGGUUUACUCGUAAGAAAAAGAAGUAGCGGGGAAAGUGAGAAGAGUGAAAUUGCUUAGUGGCAGAUACUUAUUAUUCUCACGUUUAAAGGUGAGGUAGUGAGGAAUAUGCAACAGUUUUUUUACUGCAGUUAGUAUUUUGGGCAUGGAAUUCUAUUCUCUGAUGAGCCUAGCCUUUGGAAAAUUGUAGAUAGUAUCACUCUCAUUUGUCUUUCUUGUUUCUAUUUCAAUUCAAUAAAUUCUCCUAAAUUUAACUUUCAUAUUUCUCUGUCUUAUCAAUUAGUCCAAAAAUGGCAGAGAGAGUCACAUAAUUGGAACCCCGCAUGUCUCAUGUUGAGUCAGGAAUGUUGUCGAUGCAAGAGACGCUGCUUGUUGAGAUGAAUCGGUUGUGGAACUUUUCGGCACGUUCAUCUCCGCCCCGGGAGAACCACUAUCCCCGUUGGACGAAUUUUGUAUCUCCACUAGGAAAGUGGAGCUUUCUUCUUUCCAUGGUGGAGACCCAAUCGCUUGGAUAACAGAUGCUAGAAAUAUUUUGAAGUUCAACAAGUUUCUGACAACAUCCACAUUCAACUUGUUAAACUGGGCAUGGGGGAUCAAACACUUCAUUAGUUCAAUUUGUGGCGUGAUUCAACGGAGGAUGUUUCGUGGGAGAGUUUCAAGGAUGCUCUUAUCAUGCGUUUUGGUGGUGGCUAUUCCGAUAAACCAUUUUAGGAACUCAAGGUUCAAUGGAAGAUUACAUCGUUGAUUUUGAACUCUACUCCUCUCAAUGCGGUCGCCUCCUUGAAAUCCAGUUUUUGGGAUACUUUAUUGGUGGACUUUGUCAUGAUAUUCGCAUUAGAGUUCACACUUUCAAGCCAACAUAUCGAUACCAAGCAAUGUAGGUUGCUCGUGACGUCGAAGUUGAAUUCUCAAUUGAAUUGCAACCCAAGCAUCUUCAUGGGUCACACCUAAAACCCGAAGAUCCUCCUUGGCCUCGGACCUCUAAAUCAGGUUGGUUUCAACGAGAUGGGGCUUCCAAUGGAUCUAGGAUUUUGGGUCCAGUCUAAACAGGGCAUUCAACCACUCAGCCUGAAACUUAUGUUAUGUCCUCAAAUUCGAACAUGAGAGGGUUCUCUUCGACGACGAGUUCCAAAGACUGUUCCACGGUGGAUCUGCGGCGAAGCUCUAGUGAUCAGAGUCGAGGCCGUACAUACCUUUCGCGGCGCUGUCCGAAAAACGAGGAAAUGGCCUUUGGAAAAUUGUAGAUAGUAUCACUCUCAUUUGUCUUUCUUGUUUCUAUUUCAAUUCAAUAAAUUCUCCUAAAUUUAACUUUCAUAUUUCUCUGUCCUAUCAAUUGGUCCAAAAAUGGCAGAGUCACAUGAUUGGAAACACGCAUGUCUCAUGUUGAGUCAGGAAUGUUGUCGAUGCAAGAGAUGCUGCUUGUUGAGAUGAAUCAGAUGUGAAACUUUUCGGCACGUUCAUCUCCGCCCCGGGAGAACCACUCUUCUCCAUUGGACGAAUUUUGUGUCUCCACUAGGAAAGUGGAGCCUCCUUCUUUCCAAGGUGCAUACUCGAUCGCUUGGAUCACACAUGUUAGACAUACUUUGAAGUUCAACGAGUUUUUAACGACAUCCGCAUUCAACUUGUUAAAUUGGGCAUGGAGGAUAACACAAUUCAUUGGUUUAAUUUGUGGCUUGAUUCAAUGGAGGAUGUUUCGUGGGAGAGUUUCAACGAUGCUCUUAUUGUGCGUUUUGGUGGUGGCCAUUCGGAUAACCCAUUUUAGGAACUCAAGGAUCUAAAGAAAUCAUGUUCAGUGGAAGAUCACAUCGUUGAUUUUGUACUUUACUCCUCUCAAUGCGGUCGCCUCCCUGAAAUCCAGUUUUUGGGAUACUUUAUUGGUGGACUUUGUCAUGAUAUUCGCAGUAGAGUUUGCACUUUCAAGCCAAAGUCUCGAUACCAAGCAAUGCAGGUUGCUCAGGACGUCGAAGAUCCUCCUUGGCCUCGGACCUCUAAAUCGAGUUGGUUUCAACAAGAUAGGGCCUCCAAGGAUCUAUGCUUUUGGGUCCAGUCUAAACAGGGCGUUCAUUCACUCGGCCUGAAACUUCUGUUAUGUCCUCAAAUUGGAACACCAAAGGGUUCUCUUUGACGACGAGUUCCAAAGACUGUCCCACGGUGGAUCCGCGGUGAGGCUCUAGUGAUCAGAGUCGAGGCAUUCACACAUACCUUUCGCGACGCUGUCCGAAAAACGAGCAAAGGGCCUUUGUUUCUGUUACGAUGAAAUGUGGCAUCCCUUUCACCAAACUAUUGCGUUUGGUUUUCCUCGGGGACAAAUAAAAUAUGAAUGAGAGGCGAGAUUGUCGCCAUUGAGGCAGAAGUGGUUGGGGUCUUUGGGAGUCUUUGACCUCACUAAUUUUUCAUGUGCAGCGAGUAAGGCCAAAACUAUAAAGUUAGAAGGAGUUAUGGUUGGGGUCUCCCUUAUAGUUCUGGUGUAUGGUGGUGUAACACAUAAAUUCAUUAACCCUUUUGCGGUAUCCGCUUUGGGAUUAAAGGUAGAUGCCUCACAAACGUUGGGAGUCCGUUUGGGGGAUGGCCAUAUAGUUGACACCUUAGGGAAAUGUGCAGGGUUGCAUUCGAAAGUGGGGGAGUUGGAAAUGAGUGUCGAUGCUUACAUUUUGGAGUUAUGAGGGUUAGAUUUGGUGUUAUGAGUGGUGUGGUUAGAAACAUUGCGGAAGGUGAUGAUGGAUUGGAAGGAUAUUACUAUAGAGUUUACCAAGGUAAGGGGUUACUACUGUCUAAAGUCCAUUUGUCGUCAACUGGAAUAUCCUUGUGGUUGUUGAAGAUUCAAAAGGAGGGUCUGGUUGGCCAAAUUCGACUACCAUGGUGGAAGAUAAGCUUCAAAUUGUCCUUGCAGCAACAACUGGAAUUGCAGGUUGUUUUUCACCAAUUUUUUGUGGUGUUUCAAGAGAUUAAGGGCAUUCCCCCUAGCUGCAGUGUUUGCCACUCGAGUGUGUUACACCACGUGUUGGUCCAGUGAGUGUGAGACCCUAGAGAUGCCCUCACUAUAAAAAAAAUGAUAUUGAAAAUCAAAUUUCCGAGUUACUCCAACAAUAGGUGAUUAGGAAUAGCUCCAACGCAUUUUCAAGCCUUGUGAUUUUGGUUAAAAAGAAGGACGACACUUGGAGAAUGUGCAUUGACUAUAGAGUGCUUAAUAGGGUCAUCGUGCAGGACAAGUACCUUAUUUCGGUGGUGGAUGAGCUCUUAGAUGAGUUGUAUGACGUUUGUUUCUUUUCCAAAUUGGAUUUGAAAUCAGGGUUUCAUCAUAUUCAUAUGAAAGAGAAUGAGGUCCAUAAAACAACAUUUCGAACUCAUGACGGCCAUUACGAGUACUUGGUCAUGUCUGUUGGGUUGACUAAUGCUCCAACAACCUUUCAGGUAGUAAUGAAUGAAAUUUGUAAGCCCUUAUUGUGCAGGUGUGUCUUAGUUUUCUUUGAUGAUAUUUUCGUGUAUAGUGCUGAUUGGAAAUCACAUAUUAACUUACUGUUAUUUUAUCAUUGUUAAAGAAACGUCGGUUUGUGGCUAAUCAAAAGAAAUGUGUUUUUGGCCAACAUCAAAUAGAGUAUUCGGGUCAUAUGAUCUCUUCCUAGGGAG